UUUUUAUUUUCUAUUAAGAUCAUAGAAAACAUGAGAUCCCUUGGUCAUGUGUGAUAAGUCUUUGGGAAGAAAAGAUAAAAGUUUCAUAGAUGGUAUGGGAUAUUGCCGCUCUCAAAUGCAAGAAAAACCGUCAUUUCACAUAUGCUGUUACAUCUACUUAUUGGCAUUACUGUCCCUCUGUUUUUCAGAUGAGAAGCUGAGGCACAAAGACAAAUAUCUUACCUAAGGAUAGCCAGGUCAUGAAUGGCACUGCGGAAAUUUGAAUUCAUGUAAUCUGAUCCCAGAGAACCUGCCUUGAAUGGCCGUUUUCCAGACUACACAGUUUUCUCUCACAAGAUAUUAACUUUUUGAACUAAUAAAGGAGAAGAGUCAAUGGCUCCAGUUAAUUCCAGGAGCAAAAAUUUAUCUUUUUUGUGUACAGUAACUGGAUGAAUUAGAAGUUGUGUGUGAAAGGUGAUAUUUAUAAGGUAUUUGGGAAUUCAAUGACGAACACUUCCCUGGGAAAGUAGCAGUUUAAAAGGAAAGUCAUCUGAACCUAAGCAGUGUAGUGGUGUCCAUCAGGAAACAUGGUCUUGAAUGGAAAGAACAAAACCAAACUAGAAUAAAGAAUCACCACCCAAGCAGGAGAGAAAUCAACAAGAGGGCACCUGGCUAGGCCUGGUAUGUGGCUGCUGCUCAGAAAAUUUAAAAAGAUUCCAGGAGAAGGGAGUAAAGAAGGAGCUCCCUGCUGCAGGCUCAAAGACUGUCAACCACCUGCAGAGGUCGCCACCCUGACUACCAGCCUCUGGCUGGCCCACCCGUUGGACACCACGACUCUCCACUCCCUCUUCUAUUACUCCGGGAUCCUAGAUAGUGCCAUGUGAUGUGUGCACUAAGAAGGAGUUGGGAGAGACAGCUCUUCUCUGUGGCUAGUUGCCAGCUGAUGUUUGAAGGAAGGAGAGAAGACAGAGCCUCUUUUCUGCAUCAGAAAAUACUGUGAACACAGAUGUGGGCUUUAGCAACCUGCAAGUGCAGCCUUCUUCUAACAAAAUGAACCCUAUAUGAAAUUCUGGAAAGUAAAAGAGGAAGUUAGAUGGGUGACCCAUUUGAGGUAGGUAUGAUAAUAGCAACUGUUUCUCUUUUGUCAAUUUGUCUUCUGCAUAGGAUAUAUGUGUAGCUGGAAUAAGCAAUGAAUAAA
This 1177-nucleotide long non-coding RNA is filed under the name Aotus nancymaae (Ma's night monkey). RNAcentral's name for it is "lncRNA (ENSANAG00000039302.1)". The record is from RNAcentral. Lineage: Eukaryota; Metazoa; Chordata; Mammalia; Primates; Aotidae.